CCUACGGGUGGCAGCAGUGGGGGAUAUUGCGCAAUGGGGGAAACCCUGACGCAGCAACGCCGCGUGAAGGAAGAAGGCCUUCGGGUUGUAAACUUUUGUCUUUUGGGAAGAAGAAUGACGGUACCAAAGGAGGAAGCCACGGCUAACUACGUGCCAGCAGCCGCGGUAAUACGUAGGUGGCGAGCGUUGUUCGGAAUUACUGGGUGUAAAGGGCGUGUAGGCGGGCAGAUAAGUCAGAUGUGAAAUACCGGGGCUCAACCCCGGGGCUGCAUUUGAAACUGUAUGUCUUGAGUGCCGGAGAGGAAAGCGGAAGUCCUAGUGUAGCGGUGAAAUGCGUAGAUAUUAGGAGGAACACCAGUGGCGAAGGCGGCUUUCUGGACGGUAACUGACGCUGAGGCGCGAAAGCGUGGGGAGCAAACAGGAUUAGAUACCCUGGUAGUC
This 441-nucleotide ribosomal RNA is filed under the name uncultured bacterium. Its description in RNAcentral is "partial 16S ribosomal RNA". It matches the Rfam family "Bacterial small subunit ribosomal RNA", at positions 338 to 795 of the family's 1533-position model. The record is from RNAcentral.